Molecule: long non-coding RNA, 486 nt
Organism: Solea solea (common sole)
Lineage: Eukaryota; Metazoa; Chordata; Actinopteri; Pleuronectiformes; Soleidae
Exons: 3
Source: RefSeq, a predicted model, not a curated record
UGAUUUAGUUUGUUUGACUGCACCCCGGCCCUCUGACUUAUUAGCCAAUCACUGCGCUUACCGAGGGGAGAAAAGUAGGCUGUGUCCCUCCUCCUGAUCUCUCGCUUCCGGGUCGUUGUAUGUGCCGCUAGCAUCCGAGCACAGAUCCGGCGUCUUCACCGCGGUCGAGCCGAUCAGUCGGGGCGGUGUUUAUUGCCGCAACCAGAGCAUUGUGCUGAAGGCCGACGGUGGUGGUGGUGGUUCUCCUGGGUGGUGGUGGUCCUGUGUGCUGUGUGAUCCCUUUUUAAGAUUUUCUUUGUUUACACGUCACCUUUUGCUGUGUGUGUGGGGUGUCCUCCUUUUCCUUUUGGAUGUCACUUCCCCUACCAAACCCCUCCUCCAGCCGGUAAGCCUCAGACUACAUCCCCCUUUUAGUUGGGCUCUUUUCUUUUUUUGUGUUACAGUGUCAACCUCAUGAUUGUUUUAAUAAUAAAUUGUUAGACAUGA